Molecule: long non-coding RNA, 2831 nt
Organism: Triticum dicoccoides
Lineage: Eukaryota; Viridiplantae; Streptophyta; Magnoliopsida; Poales; Poaceae
Exons: 8
Source: RefSeq, a predicted model, not a curated record
CACGCAAGCCUCCCCCGUGAGAAAAUAAUCCUCCCCUCGUCUCCUCUCCCCCGCGACUACUCGCCGCCACCGCCACCGCCACGACCCAUGCCGGCCGAUUCCGGUGAGUCUCGGCGGCGGGUGACACACCAACGCCUCCCCUGGCCCUACUCCUUCCUUCCAUCCGUCCAGAUCCGUCCUCCUCUCCUCGUCUCUCUCCUCCGCGUCUUCCUCUAGGGAGCCUUGCGGCUGCAGCAGGAGAGGAGUCAAGGGGGCCGGGCUAGCCGAUUUCCUCGCCGGAUCUGGAGCACAGGGGCGCCGCCGCUGCCGCGCGCACAACAAGCCGCAGCCACCUCCACUCCGGCGCCGAUUGAUGGGCCUCUCCACCCUCGCGCACCCGCCUCCCGACUCCCGCCCCCAUGACCUGCAGAUCCUUGCCUUCCCCAUGGGUGAUGUCUCUAGUGAAGGAGGGCGGAGACUCGCGCCGCCAUCGACCUGUCCUUCUCGUCGGUCACGCCCCAUGCUAGCAGGUGGGCAGAGCCUCAUCAUCGUCAGCGGGAGGAGGCUAGCAGCAAUCGCAGCAGGUGGCGGUGGUGGUGAAAGAAUUGAUGAUGGCGCAAGGCCCACCGCUUCUUCUGUUGCGGUGCUGCACAACGGCGUCUCUGCGGGGAUCGGUGAUGACGCAAGGAACUAAGACCUCCAGCGAGGCGGUCUUGGGUGCAGUAGCGAAAUUUGUUCAUUGGAUAGAGCUUUGAAUAGGUUAGCCCACCUUCUCUCUAUUUACAUUCAUGUGCAGAAUGGGUGAUGUUGCAUCAGAACCUUUUGUUUCUUCUUUGGUCAAGUUACAUAUGUAUCAAGAUGUGAGUUGCUAAAUGUUCAUGUACGUCUCAUGGAUGGACACUACCUUGCAGGCUUAAUGGUUUUGGUUCACGUAGAAGAGAUCCAUCCUUAGGCUUAAUGGUUUCUUGAUCUUCACUCCUAUUUCUCAGCAUUUUUGUUUAUCCUCAAAUAGUUCCUGCUUAGCUCGUUUGUCACUUGUGCUUGUUAUUAUUCUGGAGGUUAAGUGGGUGAAAUAGUUGGUGAUGUUUAGUGUGGAAGCCACUCAAAACCGUUGUAUAUAGUUGCAUUUGAGAUUUUUCGUCCAACGAUGUGUUCAAAUUUAUACCAUUGGAUUUCCAAAAAAAAUCCUGAGUCUUUGUUACACAAAGACAAGAUCACAAGAAAGGGACUUUUAGUCAUUAGUGAAUCCUACAUUUGUUUUAGCCCUUCUGUUGGCAGUAUACCGAUCUGAUUACACAUAUGUGUGAAACAAAAUUGAAAUACUCAGGUUUGGUAUUGUUCUCUUCUGUUUUUCAUUGGGUUUAGGAUGGCUUACCGCCCUUACAUAUUUAGUUCAGAACCUUCUGUCCAGUAGGUGUUCUCCGCGAAUUUAUUACGACCAAUUGUCAUAGCCUGCUAUGGUUGCUUCAUGAUCCUUUGUCUUGAACUUUAUUUUCCUAAAUUGCUUGCUUGUGAUGGAUUAAUAUGUCAUUUUGUGAGUGUUGCUUGUUUAAAAUUGAUUCUCUGGUUGCCAUUUUUCUUUUGAGCAAGCUGCUUGAAUUUUAGGUAACCUGACAGGGCCCGCAACAUUGAUGUUGCAUUCAUGAAUCUCUCAUACACAGGUAAGAAAUAUUCUCCCUCUCAUAAAAUCAUUUUAGUGCAUGAUGGAGGUUUGCUCACGUCCUUUCCAUUUCUGUUGGUUAGAAAAUAUUUUCCAUUGUUGGGUAUUCACAGAAAUUUAGGGAAUAUUUGUUGUCAAUGAUUUUAUUGCGGUCCACACUCCAAAGCUGAUUUAAGGAUCGAGUGAAGGUGGAGCGGCAUAUUCAAACUUGCAUAUCAUGGCCCAACCCGCUCUCGAGCAAUCCGACAUUGUUUACUCUUCGUUAGGUCUACUAACACUCUUGAUCCUCAUAGGAUCAUGGAUGUUGCUUCGGAUAAGGCCAAUUAAAGAAAUUAUAGGCCCUGUUAUUCAAAGAAGCGUUACAAUAGCUACCCGAACUACUGAGGAGUUUAUUCUUAAGGAUUUGGCAAUAUAAUCUGAUGAUAGUGUGUUAUCUCACGCUGCACAUUUGAUGGUUGGCAUGCUAGCCGUGAGUCUAGCUCAUGUAACUUCCAAGGAGCCUCUUUGUGCUGUUUUGUCAUCUCAUCAUCGAAGUCUCAUUUAGAACUUGAACAAUAACAGUGAAACCACUGAGCAGAUUGUUCAUAUUGUGAUAAAUGACCAUCUAGAUCGUGGAUGUGUGCUAAUAGAGACUGUUGCAACACACAAGGCUUACAAGAUGGAGUGCUAACCAGAAGGGCAACAAGGUGUAGUGGCAUCGAAACAAGUUCAAGACUUCUGGUCGAGUGAAACUAAGGACAACAAGGAUACAAUGGAAAAGGUUUGUGAAAUUGUUAAGAGGCAACUUGCUGUUUCUGAAGGCACUGAAGUUUGUGGUAGCACCAACUUCUCUAACCUUGGAGCUGAUUCACUGGACAUGAUGCAAGCGCUUCUGACUGCUGAAGUUUGUAAUUCAAAGGAACAAGGAGCAAAGAACUCCUAGCUUAUAGUUAAGAUCAUAGGCUUGCCGUUAUUCUCUUGUGAUUCAGAAUUUUAGUCGAAGAAUCUUGGCUUCUUGUUGGAUAUCUGCAGUAAAGUCCAGUGGUUAUCAUUCAUCAUCCUGCCCAGAGGAUUUCAUUUUAUGGAUGCCUGAGUUUAGAAAUUUUUCCUCUGUCCAUCGUCGACGUAUCGUCCAUGAUAGCUGUUCAUAUGAGGGAGUACAUUUUCCAGCAAUGCAUUUCCGUUGGUCCCGUGACUUAUACUACUACUACCA